UAAAAAAUUAAAUUAUUCUAAAAAUAAAUUUACAAAAGUAAACUUCGUAAAAUGCCUGCAUUAUAAUCAUAGAUUUAGAGUUGGAUCAUUUUUUUGUAGGAAGGGGUGUUCUGGUAAAUGUUUAACCACCAGCUACCUGGGUACACAUGACACAUUUUAAAGUUUAAUCUGCAUUAUUAACAUUUGCUCUACUGGUUUCUUAUAACUAGGUAAUCAAUAAAAUAAGAAAUAAAAGGUCUGAUUUAUAGCAUUUGCUGAUUUCCAAGCUUUAAAUGCUCACAAUGAAAAUUUAAAAAUAAGUCCUUGGCAGUAAAACCUGGCUUCAGGAUCCUCUUGGUUCUUCCUCUGAAUGUGGAUAGUGUUCUUUCUCACAAGUCCCUCAGAAUUGUCCUGUGUGAUAGAGGCUGGUACUAGAGAAAAAGUGCCAGACUGAAGAGUAUGUGAAAUUGAUCACCUCGAUGGGAGAGGGGCCCCAGGAGUGAAUUUCCGGGGGAGAGAGGACUCUGGCUGGGAGAGCUGUGAGUGUCUCUCCGUCUCUCCGUCUGGAGACAUCAAAGAGAGAAGGUGGAAAAAGACUUUCUCUUGAGGGUUACCCAUUUUUCCUGCUGGUGACUGGAAAUCCUUCCCCCCAACAUUUCCUAGUUGAAGAGACUUUCUGAAGAGAAACCUGAGCAGACUUUACCUCAAUUCCUGUUGCCCAGGGAGUAGCUAGUCAACUCCGUGGUUUUCCUCAAUGAACAUUACAUUUUUUAAAAGAUGAAGGAACCAACAAAGGGAAAUUUUUUUCUGGAUCUGAUGCUCAGCACUGAAGAGGAACUGUGGUGGACAUAAUGUUCUUCCUCUGGAUGUGGAUAGUGUUCUUUCUCAUCAGUCCCUCAGAAUUGUCCUGGAUCAUUGCAUUGCCACUAAUAGAGAAGUCCAUUACAUUUGAUUGUGCCAUAGUGUAUCUCUCUCUGUGUACAAUGUUCUCCUGGUUUUGCCCUCUUCACUCUGCAUCAAUUCCUGGAGGUCGUUCCAGUUCACAUGGAAUUCCUCCAGUUCAUUAUUCCUUCUAGCUCAAUAGUAUUCCAUCACCAACAGAUACCAUAAUUUGUUCAGCCAUUCCCCAAUUGAAGGGCAUCCCCUCAUUUUCCAGUUUUUUUGCUACCACAAAGAACGCAGCUAUGAAUAUUCUUGUACAAGUCUUUUUCCUUAUGAUCUCUUUGGAGUAUAAACCCAGCAGUGCUAUGGCUGGCUCAAAGGGCAGACAGUCUUUUUGAGUGGCUAAUCCUUUUAGACAAUCUCGAUGUCAGAGAAAGUGGGGAAAAUGGCAUAUAUUGGAAACCAACCAGAAACUUCUAAUUUUACAUGUAAUAGCAAGGGCUAUUAGAAGGAAUGGGCCAAGGCUUCAGGAGACAGCCCAGUCUAGAAAAUGGGGUAGGAUUCCUCUGAUUAUCCUAUUAUGUUGUAAUGGUGGAAAUUUAGCCUUUAGGAUUGAGGUAAUAUUGAACAAUGGCCGCCAAGGAAUUUACUUAUGAAAUUCCUAAAAUGAAACACUCAAGUCAGAAUGGAGUUUAUGGAGGUUUAAUCACACUGGGAGUAGGGAAAGGAGAGGGAGAGAAGGAGAGAAGAGAAAAAGGGAAAGGGGCUACUCAACCUCUGACCAAGGCAGAGGGAGUUUUUAGGCCCAAAGGGCCAAGGUGGAAAGAAUCAGUCCUUAACUCACGUGAGUGAUCUGAAGGAAAGCUGUCUGCGGGCAUCCUCUCUGUCCAAGCUCCUAACACCAACUCUCCUCUGGCUCUCUCCACAGGAAGUGCGCGAAUUCCAGAGGCUGUUCCCUACCUCACUUCCUGUGUCUCACAAGUGCCAAUGGUUGGCUCUAGCUUAGCUUAGGACAGCCCAGGUGGGCAGUUAGUUAUUUCUGAUUUGUCAUUGACUAGCACAUGCCCGUGUAGUGUGGGUGUGCACAAUUUUUGGGUGCUAUACCAAGAUGGAGACUUUUAAAAUUCACAAUGUAUAAAAAUUAUUUAAAAUAAUUUUCAAUGUAAUUUCUGAGAGGAGAGAGGCAGAAACUGGGGAAAUCAGAAUAGGUUUGCUAAAGAAAAUAGCUCUUUAUCUAGGGCAGGAGGAAAUUCAGGAGUAUAUGAUGCAAUUAUGAAGAGCAGAUCAUUGUGGCACAGAAUGCUUUAGAAUCAGGGGAUCUAUGUUCAAAUUCUGCUCCUGCUAUUCUGUACAUUUGUAUUCUGUGGUAAGACAGUCAUUCAACUUCUCUGGCAGCUAGGUGGUACGGUGAAUAGAAAACUGGUUUUGGAGUCAAGAAGAUCUGAGUUCAAAUUUGUCUUCAGACAUUUGCUAGCUGUGUGACCCUGAACAAAUAAUUUAAUCUCUGUUUGCCUCAGUUUUCUCAAAGGUAAAAUGGGAAUAAUAAUAUUAUCCUACCUUUUAGGGUUAUUUUGAAAUGCCUGGCAGACAAAAAACAUGUAAUAAAUAUUUAUUCUUUUUCCA
Molecule: long non-coding RNA, 2484 nt
Organism: Monodelphis domestica (gray short-tailed opossum)
Lineage: Eukaryota; Metazoa; Chordata; Mammalia; Didelphimorphia; Didelphidae
Source: Ensembl